Molecule: unclassified non-coding RNA, 370 nt
Filed under: Hevea brasiliensis (rubber tree)
Lineage: Eukaryota; Viridiplantae; Streptophyta; Magnoliopsida; Malpighiales; Euphorbiaceae
Source: RNAcentral
GAACAGUAGGACUGGAAGCUUCUGAUGAACUAUCUGACUCUGCUUCUGAAUUUGUUAUCAAAACUGAUCCAUUCGAAGGUUUCUCACUUGUCGGUAGGCUGGAAUAGACAACACCACUCGCCCCCACGAUCACUGAUGGUUCCUUGGCCAUCUUCUCCUUCUCCAGCGCUUCCUUGGCCAAGGGAGAGAAUUGGGAGUCUAGAGACCUUGCUGCACCUAACCAUGCAAGGACGAUCACCAGCAGUAUUCCUCCAAGAUAGGGGGUCGAACUCGCCAGGGAUCCAAAAGUCAAGAUCAUGAACUGCUGGAUCAAGGCACCGCCAGAUUUCCCCAGCGGGUUGCAGACUACAUCAAUGGCCGCCUUCCCUUU